Molecule: non-coding RNA, 108 nt
Organism: Acanthosepion pharaonis
Lineage: Eukaryota; Metazoa; Mollusca; Cephalopoda; Sepiida; Sepiidae
Source: the annotation of a GenBank genome assembly
ACAUAUCACGUUGAAACACCUGUUCCCGUACGAUCAACGAGGUUAAGCAACGUCGAUCCUGGUCAGUAUUUAGAUGGGUAACCGUUUGGGAAUACCAGAUGCUGUAAG